This 172-nucleotide ribosomal RNA is filed under the name uncultured bacterium. RNAcentral's name for it is "partial 16S ribosomal RNA". It matches the Rfam family "Bacterial small subunit ribosomal RNA", at positions 338 to 524 of the family's 1533-position model. The record is from RNAcentral.
CCUACGGGAGGCAGCAGUGGGGAAUUUUCCGCAAUGGGCGAAAGCCUGACGGAGCAAUACCGCGUGAGGGAGGAAGGUUCUUGGGUUGUAAACCUCUUUUCUCAGGGAAGAACAGAAUGACGGUACCUGAGGAAUAAGCAUCGGCUAACUCCGUGCCAGCAGCCGCGGUAAU